RNAcentral lists this ribosomal RNA (408 nucleotides) under uncultured Diversispora. RNAcentral describes it as "partial 28S ribosomal RNA". The record is from RNAcentral. Lineage: Eukaryota; Fungi; Glomeromycota; Glomeromycetes; Diversisporales; Diversisporaceae.
GAGAGUUAAAUAGUACGUGAAAUUGUUGAAAGGGAAACGAUUGAAGUCAGUCAUGCUAGUGAAAAAUCAGUUUGACGGGUUUUGAGUUCUUGAGUAGAGGCAGGGUCAAACCGUUUCUCUUUUGGACUUGAGAUUUGUUAGAUGUACUUUUUCUUUGGCAGGUCAACGUCGGUUUCGGGGGUUGUAAAAUACUUGGGGGAAAGUAGCUCUGCUUCGGGAGAGUGUUAUAGACCCUGGGAGAUGCAGCCUGCGGGAUCGAGGAUUGCAGCAAAUGCCUUCUGGCUUGUCGCCUGUUCCUGGGUGUUACCUCUCUUGUGACAACAUUCUUGCCACCGGAGGGUACUAAUGCCUACUGUUUAGUGCGAUCGAAAAUUUUGCUAAGGAUGUUGACGUAAUGGCUUUAAACGA